UGCCAGCAGCCGCGGUAAGACAGAGGGUGCAAACGUUGUUCGGAAUUACUGGGCGUAAAGCGCGUGUAGGCGGUCAUGCAAGUCGGAUGUGAAAGCCCGGGGCUCAACCUCGGAAGUGCACUCGAAACUGCAAGACUUGAGUCUCGGAGAGGGAAGCGGAAUUCUGGGUGUAGAGGUGAAAUUCGUAGAUAUCCAGAGGAACACCGGUGGCGAAGGCGGCUUCCUGGACGAGUACUGACGCUGAGACGCGAAAGCGUGGGGAGCAAACAGGAUUAGAUA
Molecule: ribosomal RNA, 279 nt
Filed under: uncultured bacterium
Lineage: Bacteria
Description: partial 16S ribosomal RNA
Rfam family: Bacterial small subunit ribosomal RNA
Source: RNAcentral